RNAcentral lists this long non-coding RNA (1352 nucleotides) under Fukomys damarensis (Damara mole-rat). Its description in RNAcentral is "lncRNA (ENSFDAG00000029368.1)". The record is from RNAcentral. Lineage: Eukaryota; Metazoa; Chordata; Mammalia; Rodentia; Bathyergidae.
UAUUCGCAUGGUCCUGCAGGCGGGAAGCUUGGCACCCACGCUGGGGACAGCCGCUCCUCCCCAAGGUGGAGGAAGGGAAAGGGACAGGGCACCAGGAGCGUUGAACUGCAAGGUCUGGAGCCUGGGUGACACUCAGGGUCAUGCUCUUGCCAAAGCAUUGCCUCGUGUGACUCAAAGAGGCCCGUUUCCAAAUGACAGUGCUGUGGUCAUCCAAAUGCCAGGGCUCUGAGGGCCAAAGGAAGGGGACAAGGGAGACCGGGCCCCUGGGGGGGUGCAUGUUGGGGUCACAGGGGUCCUAUACAGGGCGCUAGAGGGCCCAGUGGGGAAAUGUGGACAGGAAGGAAGGAGCUGUAGGUCACAGCUGCGAAUCUCAGUCAGCUCUGCAAUCUGAUCGGGGACAGGCGUGACAGGAGAAGAUGCCCUGUGGGGGGGUACGUGCUGGGAGGUCAAGGGAAAAGGGGGCAGGGGGUGCCCAACUCAAGGGAUUCAGAAUUAGCAACAAGAACACUUUGAGCACGUGUGUGGAAGAGACAUAGAAGUUGUUCUGUUAUGUUCUGUUUUCAAGAUGGUCUCACCAUACAGUUCAUCCUGGCCUCGAACUCAUUAGGUAGCCAGGCUGGCUUCAAACUCAUGCCUCCUGCCUCCACCUCCCUGCCGCUGGAAUUACAGGUGUGUACCACCAUGCCUGGUUGGCCCUGUUUUUAUAAACUUGCUCUACCUGUAAAAUUAUUUCAAAACAGAAAGUUAAAAACUAAAGAGUAACAGUGAUAUACAAGUGUGGCCGCACCGAGCGGUCCCUGCUGCUCCCUGCCGGCCUCCACUGGUUUCCUGACCUGGAUCCUGGACUCUACCCACCCUUGCUGGGCCACUGCCCAUCUCUGCCGUGGCAGGAAUGAUGCAAGAAACAGAGAUGAGCCCUGGAUCAGGGGAAGAUGGCAGGAUGACCACCCAGAAAGGCAAUGCAUGGAGAAAACCACCUUCCCCUGCUGCCUACGUGAGAGAGAAUAUAAAGGAGCAAGAGCCAACUCGGGAGGAAGAGGCUGCCCCAACCACUUCCGGGAGGGGUCUCAUCGCCCCAGGGCAUCUGCUGUUCUGGCUGAAUUUGGGUCCUGAUCAGAAGAAAACAGGGCUGAGGCUAGGCAGCUGCUUCUCCCCUCCUGUCUAAAUACAUGAAAACAAGCCUCUUCCGAGCACUGCUCUCCUAACUUCCAUCAGUGGGGAAACUGGGUUAUUCAAAAGGUCUCAAUUCAUUGAGACAACGGAGCUGUCAUCUGGGAAGAAUUAGAACUGGGACUCUACCUUAAUCCUCACACCAAAAUGAAUUCCAGAUGGUUCAGAAAUUUAAAACUGAA